Molecule: ribosomal RNA, 190 nt
Filed under: Tetrahymena
Lineage: Eukaryota; Ciliophora; Oligohymenophorea; Hymenostomatida; Tetrahymenidae
Description: partial 23S ribosomal RNA
Source: RNAcentral
AGCGGGAAUCCGGGGAGUCAGGUCAGACUUCAAAGGGAAAACUAGACGUAACGACGGGUUAGAGUCCACUGAGGAAGUUAGACUUGAGUAAAACAGAAGACUGGCCGCAUGCUUCAAGACACGGGAAAGGAAUGAUUAGCUGGAAAGCAUAGCUGAAGCGUCACUCAUUGUGAAGGGGGAAUACGCGGCA